UACGAAGGGGGCUAGCGUUGCUCGGAAUCACUGGGCGUAAAGGGUGCGUAGGCGGGUUUUUAAGUCAGGGGUGAAAUCCUGGAGCUCAACUCCAGAACUGCCUUUGAUACUGAAGAUCUUGAGUCCGGGAGAGGUGAGUGGAACUGCGAGUGUAGAGGUGAAAUUCGUAGAUAUUCGCAAGAACACCAGUGGCGAAGGCGGCUCACUGGUCCGAUACUGACGCUGAGGCACGAAAGCGUGGGGAGCAAACAGG
Molecule: ribosomal RNA, 253 nt
Filed under: uncultured bacterium
Lineage: Bacteria
Description: partial 16S ribosomal RNA
Rfam family: Bacterial small subunit ribosomal RNA
Source: RNAcentral